This 223-nucleotide long non-coding RNA is filed under the name Eucalyptus grandis. RNAcentral's name for it is "long non-coding RNA (EGRA_LNC004933)". Lineage: Eukaryota; Viridiplantae; Streptophyta; Magnoliopsida; Myrtales; Myrtaceae. The record is from RNAcentral.
AUUGGUUAAUAUAGGUGUGUACAAAUUGGGUAUAUGUAAUGUAAUGGCUAGAAUCCAACUAUUGGAUGUUUCAGUUUCAAAAAUAAAAAAGAAUUCUAGAAUCUGAUUUAAUUUAAGAUACGAAUAAUUGGUAUACAUUAUGAAAGAAACCCAUGUAUAUGUGAUAUUAGAUAUUGCUACUUAUAUAUGAACUAAAAAUAGAUAUGAUCUAAUCUGCUCUAUA